GGGGCCCCGGCUCUUUUGCACCUGGAAGAGCCCCGCCGUAACUCCGAAAUUGGGACUAGUGAGAGGGACCGUGAGCACGUGACUGACCUUGCUGGGUCUCCGGUGGAAGCCGUUCCCUUAGGGGCGGAACUCCAGCCGAAGCAGAAACAACUGUGGUGUGACACUGCUUGUGGGAUCUUAGUUCCCCAACCAGGGACUGAACCUGGGCCCUCGGCAGUGAGAGUGUGGAGUCCUAAGCACUGGGCAGCCAGUGAGAAGCAAAGACCUCCAAUAAGCCCUUGGCUCAGCCAUCAUCUCAGAACCUGGGUGAUCUCUGCACACCACUGCCCCCUUGUGGCUGAACUGGGAAUUAUCUGUGACUAACCUCAGGGGUCGGAUCUAAGAAGAGCCAAUCCAGAACUGAAGGUUGGGGAGGAGGCUGAGUGGGUCUCAGAGGAUUGAAAAACCAUGAAAUUCUGUUCUGAGUCCAGUGGGCCCUCAAAGACCGUCUGGUCUGACUUCUUCAUUACAUAUGGAGAAACCAAGUCUCAAAGAGGGUACUGCCAGGGAAUGAGUGGCGAGAUCACCAGACUUGGUGUAGGACAGUCCUCAGUCUGCAGGCUGGUGCCACUUCUUACUGGUUCUGAGACGCUGGGAAAGUGGCCUCACCCCCCACUGAUCCACAGUUUCCAUCUCUGUCAAAUGGAGUCUGGGGUCUGGUAGACUUCUCUUUUCUGGUAAUGCCAGGCUAAGUUACUCAGAUCAAUUCUCCCAUUGAAAACAACUAAAAACGCUGGUAAACUGGUGUAACCAGAGGGUACAGAAUUACCAGAACAAAAUGGAAGGAAAACAGAAACCUUGACAGACAAACCAAGCAAGAAAGUCAUUUUUUCUGAUUCUGGCCAAUUGGAACUGUUGUUUUGCUGACUCCCCUGCGCAAGGGGCACAGAUAAAGUUAGAGUCCAUAGUGAAUGAUCGUAUAGAAAACCUUUCCCACAAUAAGCCAGGAAUCCCAAAAGCCAUGCUUCCAGAAGGAAGCCAGCCCUAGUAUGGACUUGCAGCCCCAGCUUAUAUCUGUUGGAUGGUCUGUAAACUCAAGUCUUGAACUUAGAUUGACGUGCCCCAGACUGUGUGCCUCCAGCCUCCUGGAAAAAGCAAGUGAAAAUCUUCUUUGGAGGGAGGUUUGAUUAACUCUACAUUUGAAGGAGUUAAGUGUGUAGAUUAUAACCUCUAGGAUAAACAUUAACACAAUAAAAACAGUAUAAUUCCCAAGUCAGUUAAAGGAAGUAGAAGUCCCCUCUGGGUGAGGUUACUAACAAAAUACCUAUGCAUAUUAACAUCAGACAGAGUGGGCUUUAAGGCAAGAAGUACUAUUAGGAUACAACUCAAUAUCAAAAAAACAAACAACCCAAUCAAAAAAUGGGCAGAAGACCUAAACAGACAUUUCUCCAAAGAAGACAUCCAGAUGAUCAACAGGCACAUGAAAAGAUGAUCAACAUUGCUAAUUAUUAGAGAAAUGCAAAUCAAACUAUAAUGAGGUAUCACCUCAUACCAGUCAGAAUGGCCAUCAUCAAAAAGUCUACAAAUAAUAAAUGCUGGAGAGGAUAUGGAGAAAAAGGAACCCUCCUACACUAUUGGUGGGAAUGUAAAUUGGUACAGUCACUAUGGAGAACACUAUGGAAGUUCCUUAAAAAACUAAAAAUAGAGUAUGAUCCUGCAAUUCCACUCCUGGGCAUAUAUCCAGAGAAGACUAUAAUUUGAAAGGAUACAUGCGUCCAAUGUUCAUUGCAGCACUAUUUACAAUAGCCAAGACAUGGAAGCAACAUAAAUGCCCAUUGACAAAUGAAUGGAUAAAGAAGAUGUGAUAUAUAUAUACAAAGGAAUAUUACUCAGCCAUAAAAAAGAAUGAAAUAAUGCCAUUUACAGCAACAUGGAUGGACCUAGAGAUUAUCAUACUAAGUGAAGUAAGCCAGACAGAGAAAGACAAAUAUCAUAUGAUAUAGCUUAUAUAUGAAUCUAAAAAAAAUACAAAUGAACUUAUUUACAAGACAGAAAUAGACCUACAGACAUAGAAAAUAAGUUUAUGGUUACCAAAGGAGAAAGUGGGGGAGGGAUAAAUUAGGAUGUUGGGAUUAACAUAUACACACUAUUAUAUAUAAAAUAGAUAACCAACAAAGACCUACUGUAUAGCACAGGGAACUUUACUCAAUAUUUUUAAUAACAAAUAAGGGGAAAGAAUCUGAAAAAGAAUAUAUCUGAAUAUAAAAGAAUAUAUCUGAAUAUAAAAGAAUAUAUCUGAAUCACUGUGAUGUACACCUCAAACUAACACAACAUCGUAAAUCAACUAUACUUCAAUAAAAAAGAAGAGGGGGCUUCCCUGGUGGCGCAGUGGUUGAGAGUCUGCCUGCCAAUGCAGGGGACACGGGUUCGAGCCCUGGUCUGGGAGGAUCCCGCGUGCCGCGGAGCGGCUGGGCCCGUGAGCCACGGUUGCUGAGCCUGCGCGUCUGGAGCCUGUGCUCCACAACGGGAGAGGCC
This is a long non-coding RNA of Balaenoptera acutorostrata (minke whale), 2514 nucleotides long. RefSeq lists it as uncharacterized. NCBI's taxonomy places the organism in Eukaryota, Metazoa, Chordata, Mammalia, Artiodactyla, Balaenopteridae. The record is from RefSeq and is a predicted model, not a curated record. The transcript is spliced from 3 exons.